Podarcis lilfordi (Lilford's wall lizard) is the source of this 70-nucleotide non-coding RNA. The record is from the annotation of a GenBank genome assembly. Lineage: Eukaryota; Metazoa; Chordata; Lepidosauria; Squamata; Lacertidae.
GGCCAUAGCUCAGUGGUAGAGCACAUGCUUUGCAUGCAAAAGAUCCUAGGUUCAGUCCCCAGCAUCUCCA